UUAAAACUGGGUUAUUAUGUAGAAUCUUGCUUACUUGACUGUGCUUUCUAAAAAUGCAGUUUUUCUCAGUGUUUUUUUUUUUUUUAAAAAAAAACAAACUUGAAAAACCAAACCAAUUCUGUUUUGACCUCUCAGGGACAAACAGGUGUACAGGGGAGAGUCUGAUCUAAUGAACUGCAGCUGGAGAACUCUGAGCCUACUGUGCAGUUCCCAGUCCUGCUGCCUUGUACGUGUUUUGCAGGGGAAGUAUUUGCAAAUAUGCUGGCACCAAAUAACGUUAAGAGGAAAAAAAAAAUCCAACAAACUUUUGAAGAGGAAUAUUUUUUUUGUUUUUGUAAGAGUUACUGAGAGAGUCUAAGUUUGCAUGCAUGAAAUAUUACCUUCCAAGUGGGUCUUGUGGUUGGUUAAAUCUCUUUAUAUUUUCUAGUGGAAAAUUCACUGUCUCUACCACAGAGUUUUCUAUUGCAUCCAAAGGCCUCUUGGCUAACUCAACAAUUCUUUUAGUAGAAGCAACAAGAAGGCUGGAAGAAAGUGGACAUGCAAGAGCUGUAAGAAAACAUCGGCUGUGGCAAAGGAAAAAGAAAGCUGUGUCUCUGCACAAAAGGAUGACAGAAAACGAAAAUCUUCUUAAGAUUUAGAAGGAUUCUUGUGCUCCCACCAAAACUGUUAAAUGUUUCCAAACUUUCCAGCUAUGCAGCAGCAAUCCAGCUCCUGGGUAACUGCAAUUACUGUGAUGGCACAAGUGUUUGAGAUAUACAGCUCCGGAAAGCAAAUGUUCACAUCUCCCCAUAUGUGGGGGGUCAAGUCUGAGCUUCAAAGGUCAGCCAUCCACAUUAGGGGGAAUGGAGCUUCCUGGCUACUUUACUACCACCGUUUUUAGCAUAUAAAUGCAUUGCAGUGCUCCUACAACACAAGCAGAUGAAUUUACAGGCUUUGCUUUCAGAGCAGAUGCAUUUUUUUUUUGUCAGCUGUGCCCCUAACGACAAUUGAUGGUUCAGGUUGAAUGCAUGUUGUUCUGCUAUUUUUAUGUGUGGUUAUUGGGAUUGCUUCUUGUUCAUGUGAUGGUAGCUGCCUGCCAGCUGGUGGCUGGAUUCUACAGGACAAUUAGCAAUUUUCCCCAUCUGGUGAAUAGAUUUACUCCGCAUGCAUCUUGCAUGUGAUAAUGUCUGAGGCUCAAAUAGAGAUGUUUCAGUGAAAGGCUGUUCUUCACUAUCCAGAACAAGGCUUUUUCCUGUAUGUUUUGCAUGUUUUCAGGGAAGUAUGGUUUUCUGAGAGUGGUGGAGGUGCUGUUUAAGUGGUUUGUAGUGCUCCAGUUCGGCUGGGGUGCUUGCAGUUCUCCUGGAAGUGAAACAAAACUACAGGAAUUGUGCUCCUGAUUUGCUGACUGAUUAAUAAAUAUCAAGGUUUUAUUUUUCA
This 1416-nucleotide long non-coding RNA is filed under the name Numida meleagris (helmeted guineafowl). Its description in RNAcentral is "lncRNA (ENSNMEG00000013352.1)". Lineage: Eukaryota; Metazoa; Chordata; Aves; Galliformes; Numididae. The record is from RNAcentral.